CAACCUGCCGUCUACUCUUGGCCAGCCUUCUGAAAGGAAGAUUAAUCCAGGAUGGCAUCAUGAGUUCACAUGUCCGCAUGAUUAAAGGUAUUUUCCGGUAGACGAUGGGGAUGCGUUCCAUUAGAUAGUAGGCGGGGUAACGGCCCACCUAGUCAACGAUGGAUAGGGGUUCUGAGAGGAAGGUCCCCCACAUUGGAACUGAGACACGGUCCGAACUCCUACGGGAGGCAGCAGUGAGGAAUAUUGGUCAAUGGGCGAUGGCCUGAACCAGCCAAGUAGCGUGAAGGAUGACUGCCCUAUGGGUUGUAAACUUCUUUUAUAAAGGAAUAAAGUCGGGUAUGCAUACCCGUUUGCAUGUACUUUAUGAAUAAGGAUCGGCUAACUCCGUGCCAGCAGCCGCGGUAAUACGGAGGAUCCGAGCGUUAUCCGGAUUUAUUGGGUUUAAAGGGAGCGUAGAUGGAUGUUUAAGUCAGUUGUGAAAGUUUGCGGCUCAACCGUAAAAUUGCAGUUGAUACUGGAUGUCUUGAGUGCAGUUGAGGCAGGCGGAAUUCGUGGUGUAGCGGUGAAAUGCUUAGAUAUCACGAAGAACUCCGAUUG
Molecule: ribosomal RNA, 597 nt
Filed under: uncultured Bacteroidota bacterium
Lineage: Bacteria; Pseudomonadati; Bacteroidota
Description: bacterial SSU rRNA
Rfam family: Bacterial small subunit ribosomal RNA
Source: RNAcentral